CUGUACAGUUCAGAGUUUGAUCCUGGCUCAGGAUGAACGCUGGCGGCGUGCUUAACACAUGCAAGUCGAACGAGGUUAUUACAGUUGAAGUUUUCGGAUGGAAACCGUUUUAACCGAGUGGCGGACGGGUGAGUAACGCGUGGGGAACCUGCCCCAUUCCGGGGGAUACCAGUUGGGAACGACUGUUAAUACCGCAUAAGCGCACGGUACCGCAUGGUACAGUGUGAAAAACUCCGGUGGAAUGGGAUGGCCCCGCGUCUGAUUAGGCAGUUGGCGGGGUAACGGCCCACCAAACCGACGAUCAGUAGCCGACCUGAGAGGGUGACCGGCCACAUUGGGACUGAGACACGGCCUAA
This 356-nucleotide ribosomal RNA is filed under the name uncultured bacterium. Its description in RNAcentral is "bacterial SSU rRNA". It matches the Rfam family "Bacterial small subunit ribosomal RNA", at positions 1 to 334 of the family's 1533-position model. The record is from RNAcentral.